ACGUACGCUGGCGGCACGCCUAACACAUGCAAGUCGAACGAAGUAGCAAUACUUAGUGGCAGACGGGUGAGUAACAUGUAGGUAUCUGCCCUUUGGCCUGGAAUAACACGAGGAAACUUGUGCUAAUACCGGAUAAGUCUUUACGGAGAAAGCUUUAUGCACCAUUGGAUGAGCCUGCACUUGAUUAGUUUGUUGGUGGGGUAAUGGCCUACCAAGACUGUGAUCAAUAGCUGAUUUGAGAGGAUGAUCAGCCACAUUGGGACUGAGACACGGCCCAAACUCCUACGGGAGGCAGCAGUGGGGAAUCUUGCACAAUGGAGGAAACUCUGAUGCAGCGAUGCCGCGUGAGUGAAGAAGGCCCUUGGGUUGUAAAGCUCUUUCGUCGGGGAAGAAAAUGACUGUACCCGAAUAAGAAGGUCCGGCUAACUUCGUGCCAGCAGCCGCGGUAAUACGAAGGGACCUAGCGUAGUUCGGAAUUACUGGGCUUAAAGAGUUCGUAGGUGGUUGAAAAAGUUAGUGGUGAAAUCCCAGAGCUUAACUCUGGAACUGCCAUUAAAACUUUUCAGCUAGAGUAUGAUAGAGGAAAGCAGAAUUUCUAGUGUAGAGGUGAAAUUCGUAGAUAUUAGAAAGAAUACCAAUUGCGAAGGCAGCUUCUGGAUCAUUACUGACACUGA
Molecule: ribosomal RNA, 674 nt
Filed under: alpha proteobacterium IMCC14916
Lineage: Bacteria; Pseudomonadati; Pseudomonadota; Alphaproteobacteria
Description: bacterial SSU rRNA
Rfam family: Bacterial small subunit ribosomal RNA
Source: RNAcentral